RNAcentral lists this ribosomal RNA (500 nucleotides) under uncultured bacterium. Its description in RNAcentral is "partial 16S ribosomal RNA". It matches the Rfam family "Bacterial small subunit ribosomal RNA", at positions 29 to 523 of the family's 1533-position model. The record is from RNAcentral.
AUUGAACGCUGGCGGAAUGCUUUACACAUGCAAGUCGAACGGCAGCACGGGGGCAACCCUGGUGGCGAGUGGCGAACGGGUGAGUAAUACAUCGGAACGUGCCCAGUCGUGGGGGAUAACGUAGCGAAAGUUACGCUAAUACCGCAUACGAUCUACGGAUGAAAGCGGGGGACCGUAAGGCCUCGCGCGAUUGGAGCGGCCGAUGUCAGAUUAGGUAGUUGGUGAGGUAAAGGCUCACCAAGCCGACGAUCUGUAGCUGGUCUGAGAGGACGACCAGCCAGGCUGGGGGUGAGACACGGCCCAUCGUCCUACGGGAGGCAGCAGUGGGGAAUGUUGGACAAUGGGCGCAAGCCUGAUCCAGCCAUUCCGCGUGCAGGACGAAGGCCUUCGGGUUGUAAACUGCUUUUGUACGGAACGAAAAGGCUCUGGUUAAUACCUGGGGCUCAUGACGGUACCGUAAGAAUAAGCACCGGCUAACUACGUGCCAGCCGCCGCGGUAA